UGGCAACAGGGGACAAACACAGUGGCUUUCAGUAUCUCUCUCACUGAAACAGGCAGCCGAGCAAGGGCAGGAGAGACCAGGCAGACACCCAUUUACUACAGAGCUUCUACUUACAGUAAAUAACACAGGGUGGUUCAGCAUCAAAUAAAGAAGAGAUAAUGGUGGCAGGUACAGGAAUGUAAGUACGUAAGAAGAGCCUGCUGGAUCAGCCAAAGGACAAUCUAGGCCAGCAUCCUGUUCUUGCAGUGGCCAGCUAGAUGCCUAGGGGAAACCCACAAGCAAGACCGAAGCACAAGAUCACUUCCCCCUCCUGCUGUUUCCAGAGACUGUCACUCAGAAGCAUUACUGCCUCUGACCAUGGAAGCAGAGCACAGCUAGCAGGGCCAGAAGCCAUUGAUAGCUUUAGCCUCUAUAAAUUUGUCCGAUCCUCUUUUGAAGCCAUCCAAGUUGGUGGCCAUCACUGUCCCCUGGGGGAACGAGUUCUGUAGUAUAACUAUCCUCUAUGUGAAGAAGUACUUUCUUUUAUCUGUCCUGGAUCUUCCAGCAUUCAGCUUCGUUGGAUGUCCACAAGUUCAAGUCUUAUGAGAGAGGGAGAAAAACUUUUCUCUAUCCACUUUCUCCAUGCCAUGCAUAAUUUUUUUUAAAAAACUUUUAUCAUGUCUUAAUAGAAGAUAGAUAGGAAUCUUGGCCGACCUCCAGACGUAACAGAGCAAGGCACACAGACCAUAGUACUUCUUCCUCUGUGGUUUUAUCAAGAUGUUGCUUAGAUUGCAGUGUUUGACUUUGAUCUUAACCUUCUCCCUGUCACAGGCCAUUUGUGUGCAUCCUCCUAGCCCAGUAGGAUAGACAGUGGUUAUGCUAGGAUUAUUAGACAAGGAUAAUAAAGGAUUUACGUAGGAACUGGGUAUAGGGUUGGCACAAGAGUCAAUUAAAUGUGGCCACUUGACUGCCUGUUACAGUGGUACCUCAGGUUACAUACGCUUCAGAUUACAUACGCUUCAGGUUACAGACUCUGCUAACCCAGAAAUAGUACCUCAGGUUAAGAACUUUGCUUCAGGAUGAGAACAGAAACCAUGCUCCGGUGGCGCGGCGGCAGUGGGAGGCCCCAUUAGCUAAAGUGGUGCUUCAGGUUAAGAACAGUUUCAGGUUAAGAACGGACCCCCGGAACGAAUUAAGUACUUAACCUGAGGUACCACUGUAUUUACCCUGGUCAAAUGUUGUCAAAUAUUCCACAAAGUAAAAAAAUGUUACUGUGGUUUGAAAGCUGUUUUGAAAAAUCAUUAUGGUGCUAUUUGUUAGCAAGAACAGAAAUAUCACUUGCCUCCUAACCCUAGAGCAGUCGGGGAGGAAACUUGCAGCACAUCACAGGUUUUCCUGUUGUUCACCACCUGUGGUAACUUCAGACAUCUAACAGGAACAGGGCCAAAAGCAACCUUCAGUGGCAAAGGUGAGUUAUUAAGACCACCCAUAGUUCCAUCUUCUUGCAGUAGGAACCAGAGACUCUCUAUGUGACCUCGCUCUGUUACUUGCUUUAUUUCUGUUUUGCUUUCUGUUUUUUUCUUUUAAAAAUGCUGUUAUUCGAAGCUACCGCGGUGUUUCAGGAUACAGAUUUUUGGUCUAGUUCAGACAUUAUGGCAAGCUAUAUUUAUCAUGACCUGUGACAAGAGGGAGAGAAUUGGAAUGUGGGGGGAAAGGAGAAGGAGGGGGGCACAAAAAUCUGAGGCACUGCCCUGAUGGUCAAACCUAUUUCAUGGUUUGGCCAUGAAACAGGCAUGGAGCCAAUACUUCAUGCACCUCUGCUUUUUAUGAAUUGCCCUCAUUUACACUUUCAUCUAAACCCAUUUCUACCAGGUUCCCUUACUGACUUCUGUGACAACACACACACAAACAAACUUUUCCUACCUCAAAGUUAGAUUUCAUUUGCACAGCCAUCAUAAAUUGCUAGCUAUUCUGGGCAGGAUUGCACAGUUACAUUCACUGAUGAAUAAUCAUAUCCACAAGAGUGGUUUGAUUUGCAAAAUGAAACUGUCUGCUCUUAGACGUUGCAUUUAUAUUUUGACAGUACAAGUCAACACACGGUAAGUUUUGCCAAGUUAAGCAAGGACACAGGUGACAUCAGGGCCUGCUUCAGUCAGACUGUUGCCACUGCCACCCUCUGGGUCAACAUCACUUCUGCCCUGUGGGAAAGAACACCUGAGGCUGUCUCCUGUUUAGUGGGGCUGGUUGUUUUGUGAGUAUGUGGUUUUAAAUGCAAACCUAGCUAACACACACUUUCUAAAACAAUAGAAGAACAGAUACACAGCCAUCAUUUGGAAUUCCUGCUUCUCCAAAUGUUGCAGUGUAGCUCUCCAGCCAAGUAAGAUGUACAAAUAUGCAGAUACUGAGGGAAAGUGAUCAUAAAAAUGCAUAUGUUGGGGGAAAUAAUAUAUAGAAUGCAUUGCAGGAGGGGAAAUUGCUUUGCAAAAAGUAUAGUAGGCAAACUUGCGUAAAAACGAGUCUAGUAAGAAACAUUGUGUUUUUUAUAUUUUAAUCUGAUGUUGCGAACCUCCCUGAGAUCUAUGCACAAAGGGCGGUAUACAAAUUUAAUAAACAUCAGCACUCACAUUAAAAUGCUGAUGAAUUUUCCUGAGGACUUCCUCCCAAAAUACUUAGGUGGAAAUGAGGAGAACUGAACUUAAGAGUAGAAAAAUGAGAAACCAAAAUUGACAGAUCCGCCCAGUCCUAGUUGUUAGACACUUUGUGGACUCUAGCUGAAAAGCAGAGUAGAAAUCUACUAACUAAAUAAAUAACAGCAUGAGGCUGAGGCUCCAGGAAUCUCCCCAUUCAGUUAGUAGCAGAUGCAGCCAAGUAUGCUUGUGUGUAAUAGCAAACAUCUUCAGUUUGUUACCACCAACAAGGCUCUGUAUUGGAAAAUCAUUUGCUUUAGCCACUGACAAUGUCAGUAAUGUGAACGUAGCAUAAGCCAUAACUGUGGACAAACAUAUGCAUAAUUACUCCAAUUAUAAUACGCAUCCCAUAGCCGAAACCUGCUUCUUAAUUAUUAGAUAAAUCUAGGCAAGCUGAAAGUACCUACUAGAGCUAUUAUGAAAUGUAUGAAGCUGUUCAGUCUGCAACUGCAAUGCUGAAUACAAAAAAAGAAAGAAAGAAAGCAAUGCUAAGAAUGAAAUGGUAACUUCAAAACUUUCCAGGUAGACAAAGUGGGGAAAAGGAGGGAUUACAUCUUCAGGACAUUAAUACAAGAAAGGAGCUUCUGGACAAUGACAAUUGCAGAGCUUAAAGUGCAUAUUUCAUGGCAGCCAAUGAGGAUAGCUUCUGGGGUCCUUUCUAAACUUUUAAGAGUCUACAGAGAUUGCUUCUGCAAUCAAUGUGACUAAAUCAAAGCACACUCAUAAGAAAUUCCUCAAUUUAUAGCCAAGAUAAAGCCAAUUGUCUUUGAGAAGCUAAGUGCCAUCUGUACUCAGAAGCCCAGAAGUUGUGAAAGUGAAAAUCUUUACUAUCCGAUGGGAAGAGCUUUGCUGCCAAUCAAUGCAUCUACAGCUUCCAACACAUAUCAAGCUUCAAAGUAAGAGUGCUAAUGAUAACACUGGGAGCAGUUGGUGGGCUGGGGAAGAAGCACUUACCUGACCUCCCAGAAGAGAUAAGGUGGUGGAGAGGGCCAUGGGGUGAGAACACACUAGCAGGAGCACCGGACUGGCUCCACUAGGACAGUUGCACUGACCUCACCACCCUCUUGCCCCUGUUGUAAACAAAAACACACCCCACCCUCUCAGUAAACAGCAGUGACUUACCUGCUACAAUGAGGGGGGAAAGUAUUUUAUCCCCUGCUAAAUUUGCUCAUUUGCCCUCUGACAAAGAAAUGACCAGUCCAUAAUUUUAAUGGUAGGUUUAUUGUAGCUGUGAGAGACAGAAUAACAACAGGGAAACCCCCAGAAACCCGGAAGACAAAAGUCAGAGAUUGAUGUGCAUUAUAAUGAGUGAAAUAAGUAUUUGAUCCCUUUGCAAAAGAUGACUUAGUACUUGGUGGCAAACCCUUGUUGGCAAUUACAGAGGUCAGACGUUUCUUGUAGGUGGCCACCAGGUUUACACACAUCUCAGGAGGUAUUUUGUCCCACUCCUCUUUGCAGAUCCUCUCCAAGUCAGUAAGAUUUUGAGGCUGAUGUAUAGCUACGCAAACCUUCAGCUCCCUCCACAGAUUUUCGAUGGGAUUAAGGUCUGGAGACUGGCUAGGCCACUCCAGGACCUUAAUGUGCUUCUUCGUGAGCCACUCCUUUGUUGCCUUGGCUGUGUGUUUUGGGUCAUUGUCAUGCUGGAAUACCCAUCCUCAACCCUUUUUCAAUGCCCUGGCUGAGGGAAGGAGGUGCUCACCCAAGAUUUGACGAUACAUGGGCCCGUCCAUCGUCCCUUCGAUGCGGUGAAGGUGUCCUGUCCCCUUAGCAGAAAAACACCCCCAAAGCAUAAUGUACCCCUCCAUGUUUGACAGUAGGGAUGGUGUUCUUGGGGUCGUAGGCAGCAUUCCUCCUCCUCUAAACAUGGCAAGUUGAAUUGAUGCCAAAGAGCUCGAUUUUGGUCUCAUCUGACCACAACACUUUCACCACUUCUCCUCUGGGUCAUUCAGAUGUGUAUUGGCAAACUGCAGAUGGGCCUGUACAUGUGCUGUCUUGAGCAAGGGGACCUUGCGAGCUCUGCAAGAUCUCAGUCCUUCAUGGCGUAGUGUGUUACCAACUGUUUUCAUGGUGCCCUGAGAUCACUGACAAGUUCCCCCCGUGUAGUUCUGGGCUGCUUCAUCACCAUCUCCUGAACAUUGCAACUCCACGAGAUGAGAUCUUGCAUGGAGCCCCAGACCGAGGAAGGUUGACAGUUCUUUUGUGUUUCUUCCAUUUGCGAAUUAUUUGUUGUUGUUGUUGUUUAGUCGUUUAGUCGUGUCCAGCUCUUCGUGACCCCAUGGACCAGAGCACGCCGGGCACUCCUGUCUUCCACUGCCUCUCGCAGUUUGGUCAAACUCAUGUUAGUAGCUUCGAUAACACUGUCCAGGCUAAAAUAUUCCACAAGCUUAUAGAGAUAACUGUAAAUUACUCAUGCAAACAACCCAAUCCACAUCCUGCAGAAGGGAACAACAUCAUCAACAACAACAUCAGCAGCAACUACAUCAAAACCUUCUUGUGCAUUUUGGGCAGGAGAGCAGGUGAGAAUUCUUGCUACUAGCAUUCUCUCUCUCUCUUUCUCUAUCUCUCUAAGGUAUGUGGAAUUCUUGAUCUGGAGGAGCAUUCAAUUAUGCAAUCUAUUGCCCACAUUCUCAAGCAGUAUGUCCCCAGGAGAGCCAUAGCACAAGAUUCUUCUGAACUUAUAAAUCAACACUCAGCGUACAGAGAUUCUGAUAUUACUGUGACGUUUUGAUGUGUUUCCAAAUAUACUUCUGGUAUUUUUUUUAUCAAAUGCCUCUCUGGGAUACUCAUUUUAAUGAGAAAAUUUGUGCUGUAUGAAUGAUUAGCAAAAGCUGAACUAGGAAGCAUGCAUAGGAUUUGUGCUAUUUAAAAAAAAUAUGAUUUUUUCCCUUAAGUUUUCCUUUUUCUUAAUGAACAGCAACAGAGAGAAGUUUCAGGACCAUCAAUUUUGAACACUCUGGGUCAGGCCCUGACAUUUGGUAACUGCUGUGGAAAUCUGUGGGAGCCAAAAAAGACUUGCAUUUUCAUUACAGAAAGAGCUUUCAGCCCAGUACCUCAUCCAUUCUAGUGAUGGAGAACAGUUGAUGCUCUGAACUGAAAACAAAGGAAAACACAUAUCCAACUGACCUCUCAGGGUGCCCUGUAACAGUCUUGAAUAAGUCCCGUGUAGUGCUCCUCUGAGCACAGUGAUCUUACAGGUGUACUGAGGGGGUGCAGCAGACACCACCAACCCCAAGAUGGAAAGUUCUAAACUGGUAAGACAGACUCCUCUAGAGGGAGGUUUCAAUGUAGCAGCCAGCCAUAUUGGAUUAGCAUUUGGCCUUGCCCUUGAAGUUUAGCUUCAGUAACUUCCCAUUGGUCAAAUAUGUCUAAGCUGGCCUUUUAAGACUAAAAGAGGAGGCCUGUUGGAUCAGACCAAAUGGACCUGGAUGCCUUUAAAUGGUGAGCAGACCAAUUCAAGGCACACUAAAUUACCAUUAGUAAUGGCUACUAAUCUUAAUGGCUGUAUGCUACUACCUCCAGUAUGCCUCUGAACAGCACUUGGUAGGGAAGAACAGUGGGGAAUGGGUUCUGUGCUGGUCCUUCUUUUGGGCUUACUAUACCCUCUGCUUGGCCAUUUUGGGAAGCCAGGUGCUGAACCAAAUAGUUAUUUGCAUAUACUUUAUGGCUUGCCUUGUGAUGUAAUUUUGAUAUUACAGCUUGUUUGUAAAAUCAUUUAUGAGCAAAAUUCCAAUAAUCUGUUUUUCCUGGGAUGCCAUAAAGGACCACAUUAUAGAAAGGACAGUUUUCCUUGGGAAACAUCCCCAAGCCAAUAAGCUCAAAGGCGAGUUAUGCUGAGAAAGCUUCAUCUACAGCACGACAAUACUUUAGUUUCAUCAUCACUAUAACCAGUGCUUUUUUUCUUCAUGGUGAGUGCUGGCACCUUUUUUACUAUAUAUAUAUAUAAAGCACUGCCUAUAACCUCUAAUUUACACUAGGCUCCGCUACUAAUAUACAUAUUUUGGUGUGCAAUUUGGACUGUCUACAAUACAGUGGUGCCUCAGGUUAUUAUUUUUUAAAAAAUAAUUUUUAUUGAAUGAUUUUAUGUUACAAAAAACAAUACAGCCAUACUACCACUAAAUAUAAUUAAGAAAUAAAAAUUACAUACAUC
Molecule: long non-coding RNA, 6813 nt
Filed under: Podarcis lilfordi (Lilford's wall lizard)
Lineage: Eukaryota; Metazoa; Chordata; Lepidosauria; Squamata; Lacertidae
Source: RNAcentral